CGGCGGUGUGCCUAAUACAUGCAAGUCGUACGCACUGGCCCAACUGAUUGAUGGUGCUUGCACCUGAUUGACGAUGGAUCACCAGUGAGUGGCGGACGGGUGAGUAACACGUAGGUAACCUGCCCCGGAGCGGGGGAUAACAUUUGGAAACAGAUGCUAAUACCGCAUAACAACAAAAGCCACAUGGCUUUUGUUUGAAAGAUGGCUUUGGCUAUCACUCUGGGAUGGACCUGCGGUGCAUUAGCUAGUUGGUAAGGUAACGGCUUACCAAGGCGAUGAUGCAUAGCCGAGUUGAGAGACUGAUCGGCCACAAUGGAACUGAGACACGGUCCAUACUCCUACGGGAGGCAGCAGUAGGGAAUCUUCCACAAUGGGCGCAAGCCUGAUGGAGCAACACCGCGUGAGUGAAGAAGGGUUUCGGCUCGUAAAGCUCUGUUGUUGGAGAAGAACGUGCGUGAGAGUAACUGUUCACGCAGUGACGGUAUCCAACCAGAAAGUCACGGCUAACUACGUGCCAGCAGCCGCGGUAAUACGUAGGUGGCAAGCGUUAUCCGGAUUUAUUGGGCGUAAAGCGAGCGCAGGCGGUUGCUUAGGUCUGAUGUGAAAGCCUUCGGCUUAACCGAAGAAGUGCAUCGGAAACCGGGCGACUUGAGUGCAGAAGAGGACAGUGGAACUCCAUGUGUAGCGGUGGAAUGCGUAGAUAUAUGGAAGAACACCAGUGGCGAAGGCGGCUGUCUGGUCUGCAACUGACGCUGAGGCUCGAAAGCAUGGGUAGCGAACAGGAUUAGAUACCCUGGUAGUCCAUGCCGUAAACGAUGAGUGCUAGGUGUUGGAGGGUUUCCGCCCUUCAGUGCCGGAGCUAACGCAUUAAGCACUCCGCCUGGGGAGUACGACCGCAAGGUUGAAACUCAAAGGAAUUGACGGGGGCCCGCACAAGCGGUGGAGCAUGUGGUUUAAUUCGAAGCUACGCGAAGAACCUUACCAGGUCUUGACAUCUUGCGCUAACCUUAGAGAUAAGGCGUUCCCUUCGGGGACGCAAUGACAGGUGGUGCAUGGUCGUCGUCAGCUCGUGUCGUGAGAUGUUGGGUUAAGUCCCGCAACGAGCGCAACCCUUGUUACUAGUUGCCAGCAUUAAGUUGGGCACUCUAGUGAGACUGCCGGUGACAAACCGGAGGAAGGUGGGGACGACGUCAGAUCAUCAUGCCCCUUAUGACCUGGGCUACACACGUGCUACAAUGGACGGUACAACGAGUCGCAAGCUCGCGAGAGUAAGCUAAUCUCUUAAAGCCGUUCUCAGUUCGGACUGUAGGCUGCAACUCGCCUACACGAAGUCGGAAUCGCUAGUAAUCGCGGAUCAGCAUGCCGCGGUGAAUACGUUCCCGGGCCUUGUACACACCGCCCGUCACACCAUGGGAGUUUGUAACGCCCAAAGUCGGUGGCCUAACCUUUAUGGAGGGAGCCGCCUAAGGCGGGACAGAUGACUGGGGUG
This 1489-nucleotide ribosomal RNA is filed under the name Limosilactobacillus reuteri. RNAcentral's name for it is "Lactobacillus reuteri partial 16S ribosomal RNA". It matches the Rfam family "Bacterial small subunit ribosomal RNA". Lineage: Bacteria; Bacillati; Bacillota; Bacilli; Lactobacillales; Lactobacillaceae. The record is from RNAcentral.